UGGGGAAUAUUGCACAAUGGGCGCAAGCCUGAUGCAGCCAUGCCGCGUGUAUGAAGAAGGCCUUCGGGUUGUAAAGUACUUUCAGCGAGGAGGAAGGCAUUAAGGUUAAUAACCUUGGGUGAUUGACGUUACUCGCAGAAGAAGCACCGGCUAACUCCGUGCCAGCAGCCGCGGUAAUACGGAGGGUGCAAGCGUUAAUCGGAAUUACUGGGCGUAAAGCGCACGCAGGCGGUCUGUCAAGUCGGAUGUGAAAUCCCCGGGCUCAACCUGGGAACUGCAUCCGAAACUGGCAGGCUAGAGUCUUGUAGAGGGGGUAGAAUUUCAGGUGUAGCGGUGAAAUUGCGUAGAGAUCUGGAGGAAUACCGGUGGCGAAGGCGGCCCCCUGGACAAAGACUGACGCUCAGGUGCGAAAGCGUGGGAGCAAACA
RNAcentral lists this ribosomal RNA (427 nucleotides) under uncultured Enterobacteriaceae bacterium. RNAcentral's name for it is "bacterial SSU rRNA". It matches the Rfam family "Bacterial small subunit ribosomal RNA", at positions 355 to 774 of the family's 1533-position model. The record is from RNAcentral. Lineage: Bacteria; Pseudomonadati; Pseudomonadota; Gammaproteobacteria; Enterobacterales; Enterobacteriaceae.